CCAAUAGCCAGGCAGGAAGGAAAGGGCGGGGCUACCAGAUGAGGAAAAUUCUGGGGAGAGGACCCAGAGAGAAGCCACUGGGAGACGCCAUGUAGCUGCUGAAGGAGUAACAGGUCUGGGGGCGUUAUCCGGGAAAACAAGACCAUGUAGAAAUAAAUACAUCAGUACUCAUGGGUUAAUAAUUAAGAGAGAGCUAGCCAUUAUGAAGCCUGAGCCAUUGACCAAACAGUUGAUAGUUAAUAUAAGUCUCUGUGUGUUUAUGUGGGGCUAAAGGACAGUGGGACCAGGUGGGAAAUUAACUCCAUGUAUAAGCUAACCCUCUCUCCCUGCUGGCAUCUCCGAACGACCGGUGCUCCGACUCUGCCAAACCAGAAAAGGCUUUGGCACUCCAAAUCUCCCCCUACUACCUCCUGGGUCUCUCUAUCUCUCCUGAAUGCCCUCUGAUGAACUAUCACGACUUUCUGUCAACUAGCAGCUAACUCAAUCACCUGACCCAAGGUUAACUUUACUUAAUCAAUGCAUAUGAAUACUUAGGGUUCACAGUGUGAUCUAAUAUUCCCCCAACAAGGAGGACAUGGGAGCAGUAGAUCUGGGGAGGAAGCAAAGAAAGUUCUGUUUCAGUCAUGGAAUGUUUAAGAUACCCACUAGACCUCCAGAAAACAAUAGCUAUGGAACAAUAGCUACUGAAAUCUGAAACUCAAAGAACAAACGUGGGAAAGCAAUGGAUUGCAAGCAUUGUACAGUAUGGAAAAUACAAAGUGUUUAUAGUCAUGAUACUGGAUGAUGGGGCCCUGUAGAAGGGAGUGAGAAUAAUGGCUUUUCACUCUUGAAAUUCACACACAUUGAAUAUUAAUUAAAAUUGCACUCAAUGUCACAGAUGGAAGAGCUUUUUAAAAUUUAUUUAUUUAUUAUUAAUACAAUGGUCUGUCUGCAUGUAUCCCGGCAGGCCAGAAAAAGUUACCAGAUCUCAUUACAGAUGGUUGGGAGCCACCAUGUGGUUUCUGGGAAUUGAACUCAGAACCUAUGGAAGAGCAACCAGUGCCCUUAACCUCUGAACCAUCUCUCCAGCCCUAUGGAAGAGCUUUUAAUGAAAGAAAACAGGAUCAGGAAAAACAUUUAGUCCCGGGGCUAGAGAGAUGGCUCAGCGAUUAAGAGCACUGACUGCUCUUCCAGAGGUCCUGAGUUCAAUUCCCAGCAACCACAACCAUCCAUUAUGAGAUAUGGUGCCUUCUUCUGAUGUGCAGAUAAAAAUGGAAGCAGAAUGUUGUAUACAUAAUAAAUAAAAUAUUAAAAAAAUAAAAAAAAAUUGCCUUGGUCGUGGUGUUUAUUACAUCAAUGGAAAAGCAACUAAUAUGAUCGCUAAUGCAAAAGAGUAUGGGAUUGCACUGCCUGCCUAAACUACUCAGAUCCCAC
Molecule: long non-coding RNA, 1413 nt
Filed under: Cricetulus griseus (Chinese hamster)
Lineage: Eukaryota; Metazoa; Chordata; Mammalia; Rodentia; Cricetidae
Description: lncRNA (ENSCGRG00015031053.1)
Source: RNAcentral